AUGUCAGUGGCAGGGUGACGUCACGAUGACGCGGGCGUGAUGUGGCUGAUUCAGACGUUUAGCAUCGCGGUUGAGUUCUCGUUGGAGAAUUUGCCUUCGGGUUAUUGUAAUUCUCUGGGGGACAAUCGAGCAGGUAAUCAGAUAAAACGCCACAGUUACGUUACUUUGGAGUUUCCUAGCCUGAAGAUGUCAGCCGUGCUUAUUUGAAGUUAUAGCUAACGUUAGCUCUUGAAAAUCCUUUAAAAAUAAAGCAAAGAAUAAACGAGGCGCCGUUUUUGGCAGCUGUGGUUAGUGGGGUUUAACCCUAACUACUCUACAAUAACGUGCUAUAUAAUUUAGUAUGAGAUGUGCUCACUGUCAGUGCUGUAGUGGUAAAAUUAGAGGUGGGUAAACUCUGAAUUUUGCGAUCAUACAGACCUCGACGCGAUGCGAAGCAACGCAACACAAAGCGGCUAUAUUGCAUUAUGUUAUCAGUAAAAGUCAUAUACAAUCAAUGACAAUGAAUAAAUGUGUUAGUAGUUUGAAGUUUAUUAAAUUUAAGAAAACAGUAAAGAAAAGUAUGUCAACACAACAACACAAUUGCAGAUUAAGAACUAUCUACAUAUGGAGUCUCCUCUUUACAGUAGUGCCCAGAGGGCCUCCUUGUCCUCCACGUCAGGUCCUGCCUUGCACAGAGGAGCCAUGAACAACAGCAAAAAGAAAACACCACACAGACAACUUGCUUGCCCCUAAAGAUGCAUUUGGUCGCUUAAUUGUGAUCAGUUCAAUAGUUCAACCAAAAGUAGAUUGUUGUUUUUACAUUUUAAACACUAUUGCUAAACCACUUGUACAUAAAAAUGAUCACAAUGCUCUUUGGUCCUUAUUUUUGAAGAUGGUUCCACAGUUAUGGAAAAUAGGAGAUGGACUUGUAGCUCUUGGGACUUGGGCUCAUGCCAGUCUGCACUGAUCAAUGAACCCUUGUCCAUUAAAUGAAGACAGCAGCUAAUUUCAGGUAUGGAUGGAUGAUUGCCUCUUCUGUAUCUGGCUUUCAAAGCCCUCUCGCUGGACCAAGGAGGAGGGCAGCUUGACCUGAGGAGUUCACAUAAGGUCUUCUACUUCAGAAGAAAAAAACAGAACAUUAGAGGGAAUGAGCCCAUGCAUGUAAACAGCACCUAACAGGACACCCUGACCGUAGCACUGUGAACCAAUGUUAUUACUAAAUACUACUUGAAUGAAUGGACAAUAUUGAGCGACAAUACAAAAGAGCUUUAAAAGAUUGUUGCAUGCACGGUAAUGUGGAAACAUUUAGUAUGCCUGAGACCGAUUGUGUAUUAAGAUGAAGAAUCAAAUUGAAUCAGCCACAUUCGACUCAUAUGAGCAUCAUGAUAAUCAUUCAAUAGGUCCGGAAAGUAACUUCCCCAGUUGUAAAAUCGAAUUGGGCGUUAAUUUGGGAGUUUUUCUGUUUAUAAAUUAGCUUUAUCUAAUCAAUUGUUCCUUUAUAAUUUGAUAUAUCCCAACAGACAACAAUUAUGUUUCAGACGUCAGAGCACAAUUCUGAUAAUAACUGUGAAUUCCUUUUUUAUUUAUUUGUUGGGGUUAUAACAAGUCAAAGUUGAAUAUAAUUGUGUUUAUUCUCAAGUAAACCUGCCAUGUGUAAUUCAUGUUUUUUUUUUUAACUGGACAGGACAGGAUACAGAACAUAACCAUAUUUUGUUUCUGACUAAUUUUCUAAAACAUAUGUUGAUGAGGUUUUUGUGUUCAUUUUAUAGAAGUUGCUAAGAGAAGGUGUUUCAAUGCUUCUUUUGUAUCACCAAGACUGACAUCUGGAGGAUAAAACAAAGAGCUGCAAGUGUUUCAGACUUCUUUUCUUUUUGGAAUUCUGAGGAAUUAGUUUUUUGGAAACACUAAUGAACCCCUUGCGUGUCCUUUGCGUGCCCUUUUCACACCAAAACCCAUUCAUUCUCUAUGGUUGUGCUAAACCACUGCGGGUGUAAUAUAUCUUUGGCCACCGGUGGCGCUGUUGUGCGGACCGAGCGUUUGCCCGGAUGUAAAGCGUUUCUCCGGUCAUUCUCCGUCAGUCUACCCGGGAUAGAGCACCGAAGCGACGGUGCACCUUCGUCGGACCUCGCGCUAUGAGGAAGUCACUAAACAGUAAGUCAAUGACAUUUAAUGUGUAAUAAUUAUUAAGAUAAAUAUGCAGCAUGACUAUAAAUAUAAUUUAUGUUGGUGUCACGCCACAUGUUAGUUUAUAGUUGUGUUCACGUGUGUUUGACUGCAUUAAUUACUAGUUGCAUAUCACAGAUGUUACUCAACUAAUAAAUGAGGAUCUUGUAAUAGAUUAAACCACCAGAAUUGUUUAAAGUCAGUCAAAUUUAAACACAUUAAUGCCUCAAUGAUUAGGAUAAUAUAUGAUAUAUUUGGCAUCACGACUAGUUUUAAUCUUACUUUAAAAAAAGUUAAUUUAACUUAAAGUUAAUUUAAGUCCCUGAAGCCCAUGUACUGGGGACUGGCACAGCGCUGCAGCGCUGCAGGCAUAGAAAAGGCACAAUAACAGUGGGUAGACAGGUAAAUUAUAUCAAUAUUUUUAACCAUCAUUGGUGACACAAACAGCUCAUAGUAACAACUUAGAUUACUUUUCAUUUUUUUCAGUUUCAUUAAAGAAAAGCCCUUUGCAUUCAAUUUUAUUUUGAUGACCAUAUCCACCGGUGCACACAUGGUGGUCUAUAUGACUGCUGUCACAUCGAUGGCUUUCCUUUUCUUUUUUCUUUCAGGGAUUGCUGUGUUGCACUUAAGGUGGCAGAGUCGUCUGCAGGAGAACAUCUGAAAUGGGAUUCUUGGAGAACAAGAGAUUGCCAAUGUCACGUCUGGCAACCAUCACAUUUUAAUGCAAACAUUAAUAUCAAGCUGGACUUGUUUCACUGCAUGAGGCGGUUCCUCCGUGAGUGUGUGUCGGUGGCAUCCCGCCCUGUACAGUUCCUUUGCUCAGUUCCUUUGCUCAGUUCCUCUGGACUGGGACAAGCACAACAGCAAGACAGAUCACACCCAGGCCCCGAAUCCACCUCCUCAAAGUGAUCCACUCGCUACACAGUCGGAGGUUCAAGGGUGUUCCAGUUUUCUCCAUACAUUUGUGUCACUUAUCCAUUUUUUUACAAGAUGUGAAAAUAUAUUUAGGGUGUUAUUAAAUAAACAUUCACAUACAAAUACCAGUCUUUCAUGAGCUUUUAAUGAAAGUUUAUAUUUAUUAGACAAGUAUUUGAUUCUCUAGGUCAGAAUGACUUAUAAUACUCUGUCUUUUGUUCCUGUAGAAACUCUACACAGCAAAAAUUGGAGUGUUGAAAUUUCAGGGUUAAAAAUUUCCGAGUUGAUUUUCACUCCCAGAGUGUAAUUUCAACACAUUCUGAUUUAAAUGGUGUUCAGUGUUGGAGUUAUUUGGCAGAGUUGAUCAUGUCAGUGUUAACCCAACUCCGCAGAGACGUAAUUAAGCUCCGCCCACGCCUUUCACCUCUUCGGUUAGAGACAGAGAAGACAAGUCUGCGCCAUUUUCUACCUCUCAUGCAGCACUACACGGUAAGUGCAAUUAAGUUAAACUUACUGAAACAAUUAAAAAUUGAUGCUGAGAAUUUCAGUAUGAACAAUUAAAUAUCCACAGAGAAUAUAUGCCUUACACAGCCGUGUUUGUUGCCAGGACUGAACAGUAAAUUUGUCCUCGUGGUUAGCUAGCUAGUUAGCAGUGUACGGUAAGCUAGCUAACAGUUUGUUACUAAAACUCUCCAACUUUAUCAAUAAUGAUUUAACAAUUCACAGGCAUGCUCAAAGCUAGGAAAUACAAAGCAUUAUGAUUUUUAACUGCAUAAAAUCUUGUUUGAGGCUGGAGCUGACGUUUUUUUUUUCACUUUGAAGAUCAAAGGGACCGCAAAAAACGUGUCCCAACAUGCAGACGGGUGUUUCACGUGUCUAGUUCACGUGUCUUGACAAUCAUGGGAACACUUCUAUGAUGCUGCAAGCAGCACAGGGUACAUUUCUUGGCGUCUGAAAACAGUCCAGAGGAAGAUUCUGCACAGCCACCAAAUAGCCCAAUUGACUUUUCUCCAGGAGGCCCAAAUUGGCAAAGGACUGUUAAUGUUGAAGGGCAGCUUGAUGGUGAUGCUUGCCAAGAGGCCAUGUCUUUGCUUAACCAUACAGCAGACAAUUCCCUGAUUUUCCAGAAGAUGAGAGAAACCUUUCAGCAUCGUCAGAAGUUUGUUUGACUAAUAGAUGGAUGACUGUUUAAAACUUUGUCAUAAUGCCUCCCUGUUCUCAUUCAAACUUAACGUGUUACAUUUGAAAAGUUUUUAGUUAACUCUUGUGACUGUUUGUCCUCAGCCUACGACCAAGAAAUGGCCUCCCUGUUGUUGCUGUUACAUCUCCUUCCACCACCUCCAGGGGGACUGAAGUCUCCAAAAAAUAGUGCAUGUGAUGCAGUUGAAAGACUUGUUGUAUUUCAUAAGUCAUGCUGCAGUUUGGAGGAGCAUCUCCGCAACCAGCAGGGUCGGCAGCCGUACCUCCUCGCUGUUGGGCGUCAGAAGAGCAAGAUUGACAGCUUCUACAUCACCAUGGAUAAGCGUCUCAUCCCAUGCAAGGCAAACCGCUCCCUCGGGGCAUGUGAUGAACUUUUCAAAGCACAUUUUGUGUUUAAUUUGUCUUACGAUGUGGCACUUGUGAAUUUUUAUACAUUCCUGCAGACAACAGUGUAUAACAUUGAUGUGGGGAAAAUGAAGGAGUCACCCAGAGUUAAAGACUUGAGAGCAAGACUGCUUAACCAGCCAGUAGCAUUCUCACCCUGUGAGUAAGAAGCUAUAACAAUGCUGACCUGUUUCAUGUGUUGACAAACAAGCUAUUUACAGAGAAUUUUCAUGACCAUCAUCAUGCAUUCAGAGUAUUACGAAGUGCGGAAAGAUGUUUACUAAAAAUGUCUGCGCUUAAAUUUCAUAAACCGUUUCAUAUUCAAAGCUCAUAUAAUGUUUUGGAUGAAAGUUUGUACAUUAUACCUUCAUUCACAAUGUUUUAAUUCAACUGACUGCAAGGGAGAAAAGGAAUAAAUGUUUUUGAAAAUGUUUUUUAUUGUGAUGAAUUCUUAUUAAUAUAAGUAUAUAUUUAAUUAAUACAUUUAAAAUGAAUUAACAUUUUUUCAGUGUAGAUAAUUGACACAUUAGGGAGUGUAAUUAACACUACCAAAAUAGUUAAAAAAAUUAACUCGGAGCAGUGUUAGUUGUCUAAUCCCUCAGUGUUACUUUAACACUGUUUUGUGAGUUAAUAAAGGAACUCUGGUAGAGUGUUAAAUGUUUAACUAUUUUGAAAGUGUUAAUUUAACUCUGGAGAGUGUGGAGCUAUAUAAACUCUCAAAAAGUGUUGAAAUCAACUCUGUGGGAGUUAAUUCAACACUGGACAUUUUGCUGUGUACGUCCGCCGUCGCUGGCAGUUAUCGACCUGCUGCUCAACAAACACCGUGAGCAGAAGGACAUGCUGAAGCUUGUGGACCAGGACUACGCUGCUCUAGUUCACAACUCCUGCACAGACCCCAACAGCAUGCUCCACCCGACAACAAAACUACAUGUUCUACAAUAUGUAAAGCACCUCAGCAAAUUGUUGAACACCAGUUCCUCUUUAAACGUCAGUCCAGAAAAACUGCAAGAGAGGCAGAAACUCUGUCACUCUCUGACAGAGGCGAGUGAGACUACUAGUGUGCAGGUUGUUACGAUGUCUGUUGUAAUUGUUCACCCACCUCCACCUGUUCAGAUGCUGACACAAGCUUCUGUUGAGAAGAUUGUACCCAACAUCAUGGAAAAGCAGCAGCAACAUAAACAGGAACAACAACAACAACCGGGGCAAAAGAAGGGCCGCACGAAAGACAAAAGUUCUUUCAGCUAGAACUGGAUGCCACACAGAAAAGUUCCAUCUGGCAUUUUAAGUGCAAUUAUUUGUAAUAUUCAUGUUGUAAUUAGUUUAUAUAUUGGUUUCUUGCAUUUGUGACUUUGUACAUUGAAAUAUUAUCAUUUUAUUAUUUAUAUUUGGUUUUAAUAUUCAUUAGUUUAAUUAUUUAAAUGUCUUUAUUUCUGUAACAUGUUUGUUUGUAUAGGACUAUACAAAUCGGUUGAUGUAUCUGUGUUCAACAUUUACUGUCCAAGUUAAUAAAUAUAUUUCAAUU
Gasterosteus aculeatus aculeatus (three-spined stickleback) is the source of this 6163-nucleotide long non-coding RNA. Lineage: Eukaryota; Metazoa; Chordata; Actinopteri; Perciformes; Gasterosteidae. The record is from Ensembl.